GAUGAACGCUGGCGGCGUGCCUAAUACAUGCCAGUCGAGCGAACAGACGAGGAGCUUGCUCCUCUGACGUUAGCGGCGGACGGGUGAGUAACACGUGGAUAACCUACCUAUAAGACUGGGAUAACUUCGGGAAACCGGAGCUAAUACCGGAUAAUAUAUUGAACCGCAUGGUUCAAUAGUGAAAGACGGUUUUGCUGUCACUUAUAGAUGGAUCCGCGCCGCAUUAGCUAGUUGGUAAGGUAACGGCUUACCAAGGCAACGAUGCGUAGCCGACCUGAGAGGGUGAUCGGCCACACUGGAACUGAGACACGGUCCAGACUCCUACGGGAGGCAGCAGUAGGGAAUCUUCCGCAAUGGGCGAAAGCCUGACGGAGCAACGCCGCGUGAGUGAUGAAGGUAUUCGGAUCGUAAAACUCUGUUAUUAGGGAAGAACAAAUGUGUAAGUAACUAUGCACGUCUUGACGGUACCUAAUCAGAAAGCCACGGCUAACUACGUG
RNAcentral lists this ribosomal RNA (497 nucleotides) under uncultured bacterium. RNAcentral describes it as "partial 16S ribosomal RNA". It matches the Rfam family "Bacterial small subunit ribosomal RNA", at positions 28 to 507 of the family's 1533-position model. The record is from RNAcentral.